GUCCUCUUUGGGCGGGGACAUCCGAUAAAAUUGGAACGAUACAGAGAAGAUUAGCAUGGCCCCUGCGCAAGAAUGACACACACAACUCGAGACCAUGGCUCGUACAUA
Small nuclear RNA from Cucurbita pepo subsp. pepo (vegetable marrow), 108 nucleotides. NCBI's taxonomy places the organism in Eukaryota, Viridiplantae, Streptophyta, Magnoliopsida, Cucurbitales, Cucurbitaceae. The record is from RefSeq and is a predicted model, not a curated record.